This 108-nucleotide transfer RNA is filed under the name Thermosphaera aggregans DSM 11486. RNAcentral's name for it is "tRNA-Ser". It matches the Rfam family "tRNA". Rfam says of the family: Transfer RNA (tRNA) molecules are approximately 80 nucleotides in length. Their secondary structure includes four short double-helical elements and three loops (D, anti-codon, and T loops). The record is from RNAcentral. Lineage: Archaea; Thermoproteati; Thermoproteota; Thermoprotei; Desulfurococcales; Desulfurococcaceae.
GCCGGGGUGCCCGAGCGGUCUAAGGGGGUGGGCUCGAGACUUCCGGCAUCUCCCCGGGAGACCCACUGCCCCCUCUGGGGCACGCGGGUUCGAAUCCCGCCCCCGGCG